Long non-coding RNA from Mytilus californianus (California mussel), 19320 nucleotides. RefSeq lists it as uncharacterized. The record is from RefSeq and is a predicted model, not a curated record. The transcript is spliced from 3 exons. NCBI's taxonomy places the organism in Eukaryota, Metazoa, Mollusca, Bivalvia, Mytilida, Mytilidae.
CGCAGGAAUAAAUUUGCCAUAUGGUAUAAAUACAAGACGCCGUCAAAAUCAGUAUUUACGCAGCAAAGACGAUCAAGAAUGGUUGUGAGACGCCAUUGCCGAAUUCUUGAAGUUCAAGUUGAAAACAUGGACAGGCAAGAACAUCACAUAAGUUGUACAUGUUAUAUAGUACCUGUUACAUGAAAGAAAUGACAGAGUAUUUGAUGUGAUGCACAUGGGAUAAAAUGUAGGCAGAACCCUGAACCAUGGAUGGCUUUUUGAAGGAAGUGGUUGUCAUUGAUGUUGCAUAUUGUCUUUAAUUGUAAGGCAGAUGAGGGUUUUAGUUGCAUGGGGAAUGUCGACAAACUGGAAAUAUGUGAACCCUAGCUUUUGUUGUCUGGUGGAAGAUAGGCAUUGAAGUGAUGUGAUACCAAAGCUGUUGGUUAUAGUGUAGAAGAGGGGCAUUGAAGAUAAAUAAGUGGGCAAUUUAAACAUCUUUGAAUAGAUUUUCAUAGCAAUAGUUUCAAUUUUGCCAUAGAUUAUUGAAAAAGUUUCAGGUUCAAAAGGAGAGUACCAUAUACUGGCAGCAAAUAAUUUUUUCUUGUGCAUUAUUCCUAUAUGCAUUUAGAUCCUUGAUGUCUGACAUCCUGACUUGAAGAUUUCUUUUGUCUAUUCAUUUAGAUUUUAAGCAGCUUAUCCUUAUUAUUCAUGGAUUUAUUAUUUGGAUUUUGAUUGUGCUAUCUAGUAAUUCAUGCAGUGUUGUAGAAUUUUUUUCCAUUGGGACCAUCAUCUUAGCAUGGGAAUGACCUACUACCUUCAUUGCAGAUAAAAAUGGGAAUGGAAUGUAAAGACGAAAGAAAUAAUUUGAAUGAUGAUAUAUUAAAUAUUUAAAAACAAGGUUUUUUCCUCCUUUGACAGCCUUAGAUUAAUACAACUUUUAUAGCCUUGAUUUGAUUAGUACUGUUUGUGUUUCAGAUAUAUCUAAUUGCAUUUAAUCGUCAUUGUAACUGCAAGGGAUUUAAAAUAAUACAACUUUGAUAUGUUUGAUUUGAUUGGUUCCAUUUGUCUUUCAGAAAUACUCAAUUGCAUUUAACAGUCAUUGUAAUGGCAAGGAAUUUAAAAUAUUAUUUGCUAUAUAUAGUAAUCCUAAGUAUUUAUCUAGGUGAUGUGGUUUGUAAACUAAUAACCCUAAGCAAUUCUUUGAAUUUUAGACGCAUUAAACAAUAGUUAUCAAUAUUUGCUAAAUCAUAUACAGGUACCUUGUUACUAAUAAAUUAAUUCACUGAUUUUUCCAAUUUAAUACAGAUUAGUUAUAACAGCUUUGUUGACCUUGAGCAAUUUGGUGUAAAUGUUGAAAGUUUGUUACCAUUUCAUUUCUGUACACUGACCGAUAAAUUUACCAAUGUCGGAAUGUCGACAAGUUACAGUAAUGAUAUGAUAAAGAUUUUACAGAAACCGUGCAUCUUGGGACUUCACAUAAGCAAGCCAAUAAUUUGGAAACCAUACUUGUUUGUAGAAUUUAUUUAUUCAAAUUGACAAUUUCUCAAAGUAAAGCAAAAUACGGCUGCAACUAGGAUUGAUUUGUAGAAAUGAUUCAGAAGAUAAAUCUUGUCCAUACUUGAAAGAAAUAACUCUUAAGUUCAGCUGUUAAUAUAAAAUUACCAAGUAUUUAAGUUGUAUUUAUGAAAGAAUUCUGAGAAUUGAAGUUUGUUGCAGGCUUUCAUUUCUGUUUUAAUUUAGAAAUCUACAGAAUGAAAAUGCAUGAAUGGCUGUAUGGUUUAUAUAAGAUCGGAAUAAUUCUUAAAAAGGGAUAGAUAUAAUUUGACAAUGAUUAGAUUUUAUCCUUAAAAUUUGGAUAUAGUUUUCACAUGCUGUUUGUUACCCUUUGAAGCCUUGUGGUGGAAUAGUGUUAUAUUUGGACAUAGAAGCUAUUUAUACUAUCAGCUUAUACAAGUGAUGCUUUGGAUUUUUAAAAUUUUUUAUUAGUAAGCAGGAUUUUUUAAUGGAUAUAACCAUGACCUAAUUUUUUCAGCAAGACCUUUAAUAGAUGCAAGACAUCCCAGAAUAAAGAAGGCUAAAUCUGGCAAAUGUAAUUGGACCAACUUGAAAGGCAUUAGCAAGAAAAUUAAUGAUGAUUUUGUUUAGUGAAUUUUACAGAAGCUAUGCUUCAAUAAAGAGUUUUGCAGUUCAAAUAAUUUGGGGAAAUGCAGUCGAGACCUUUUGGACAAGAUUCCUUUCAGAUUAAAAUGUCCUUUUGUUUUAAUCCAAACAGGUCUAAUGUAUGAUUUAGCAAUUGGGGAAUUGCUCGCCCAUUCUGCUGUAAAUGGAUAAUGCUUCAUCUCCAGAUAUUUUCACAAGCUAUUGUUGGAAGCUUCCAGUGGAUUAAGGUUGUUUUGGUAUAGACGUACUUAAAAACUUGAGAUAAACAGCAAAUUCAAGUAUUAAAUUAGAGGCAAGUGACCCCUGAAUAAAGCUUGCAAAUAUGAUUGUACCAUAUUGAAAGGCAUAAACAAGUCAUUAACAAAAUUUAUGAAGGUUUGAGAGCAAUUCAGAUGUGGGGAAAAGGCAGUCUAGCCCUCUUGGACGGACAAGAUUCCUUUCAGCUUUAAAUGUCGUAGAUCUAGUGUAUAAUAAAUCAUUUUAUGAGGCAAGGCUCGACCAUUCUGCAGUGAAUGGAUAAUACUACUUCGGAUUUGAAUGCAGUUGGGACCUUGGGGACAAGAUUCCUUUCUGAUUUAACUGUCCUGUGUUUUAAUCCAAACAGAUCUAAGGUAAAAAUUGAGCAUUUGUGAGGCAGUGAUUGACUAUUCUGCAUUAAAUGGAUAAUGCUUCAUCUCCUGAUUGGAAUAAAUCAAUUAUUGGACUGAAUGAAUUUGAAGUUAAAUUUUGCAAACCUUAUAUUUAGGUAACCAGUAUUUAUAACACUUGGACAACAAUGUUGGAGGUGAUUCUUAAAGCCAGUCAACAUGAGUAAAAUCUUCAGGAUUUGUUUAAUAGGUUCUUGUUUAAAAGAAUUGGUUCAUCUAUUUCAGAUUUUUAUAUGGAAUGAAAUUACUACCAAAAAGAUGGUUAAAAAGUGUUUCUUUUUUGUUCAGUCCACUUUAUGACGUGACUAAUAAUUCCAAAAAUAAUUCUUGAUUAUUUCUAGGAAGACAAGUGUAAAUGUGCAGUUUGUCCAAUUAAAACCAAAGAAGAAACAGUUGAACACAAAAUAAACCACUUUUUUAUUUCCAAAUUAUAUUCAAAUGAUGAGACAAAGAUUUUUACUCAAAUUCAAGGAGGAAACAGCAACCACAAUGGGAUUCCUUUCAGGUUAUGAUCUUAAAAAAGAUAAGUUCUGUUGUUUGAUUGCUCGAAAGAUCCAUUUCAACUUUCAGAUGUCUACUUGAACAAAUAUAGGAACCAAUGCCCUGCAAGGUACAAAAAGAAACGCAAUUUCAGCUCAUGCAUGGACAUUUUUUAUUAUUAUUAUUAUUGCACUAUUUCUAAACACAGUUGAACAUAACCAACAGCCCAUGUGGAUGCAAUUAUGAAAUAUCUACCCAAAGUGACUCAUAAGCAUUUUAGAAAACACAGGUGCCAUGAUAUAAAUUUUAUCACCUUGGUCUAAACCCAUCAGUAGAUAACGGAGACAACUAAAGACACCAAACAACCCUUGUCAAGAGCAACUUAUUUAGGUAACAAUUACAAGAGAAAAUGCAGUAAACAUCAGUAUUGGUUCUUUCAGGUUGUCUCAACUUUAACUUGAAUCAAAUCAUCUUAGAGAAGGUUGUCAUAUUUCAGAUCCGGUUUCAAGUCUAGUUGAGCUAUAUAGAAGUGAGGCAUAGUCUAGUGCAUAAAGUUCAAUUAAAAAUGCAGUAUCUUUUUCAAUAUCAAGAUGGAUUAUUUACCUACAUGAAGCUGUAGUAGAAAUUUAUUUGAAUUUUAAAGAGGCUCUCAUAUAAAGGACAAAGCUUUUAAAGAAUAGAAAAACCACACUAAAGAUUUUAAUUUUUGAAACAAUACCAUCACGUGUAUAGAUGAGCAAUUGUGGCUCCGCUAACAAUAGUAUAUGCGAAUUUGCAAGACACCAUUAACCCAGGGAAGAUCAUAAAAAUUAGCAAAACUAAUCUAGAGGCUUCCAUAUUUCUGGACAAAGCUGAAUUGGCAAGACACCAUUAACCCAGGGAAGAUGAUAAAAAUCAGCAAACCUAAUUGAUGAUAUCAGUAUAUAUUUAAGUCCUGUUUUAAAUCUAAACCAAUAUUUGCAGGGAUAAGAAAUAACAAGAAAUAUCUUGAACACUAUGCUCAUGGUUUUCUGUUUUCUUUAUUGAAGUUAUGGUGGUCAAUAGAUCUUCUUUUCAUUUAUCAGAAGGACAACUUUAAUUUUUAGGUUAAGUGGUCAGGUGGACACCAUAUAUUUCUAGAAAAUGACUACAACACUUGCAGUACAGUAAAUGAUGAAUCAAUGUCAAAUUUUUCAAGUGCUAACAGCAAAAUAUAAUUAUCAGCAUACUACUAAAUGAUACAACAUUUUCAUCUUAUUGAAAUGAUUAUUUUAAGGAAAAGAUAAAUAAUGUCAAAUGAAUUCAAAGCUUUUAGGAAAAAGAAAUGGAAUGGAACCGAUAAAAAUUUCAGGAAUUAGUCCAGUAAGAUGUAGAUUUAAUUGCAGAAGCAAUUUCAACAUUAAAUUGACCCAACGCUGAAUUUGAUGUCGCAAAGUUGAGGCUUUAAAUAUUGUUUUCUUUUUCCAAGCAUGACAAUGACAUAUCCAUGUAUUCAGGCAUCAAUCAUUUCUUUUCAUAGAUGUGAUCGUGAGGCUCUUUUUCAUAGAAGCAGUCUGAAGGCUCUAAAAACAUCACAGGUUUAAGCUUUUGAAGAAGAGAUGGUUGUUUCAAGAAACCAGUAUUUAUAUCGAUAGAUACGUAUAGAAGAUAGAUAUGUAUAGAAAAUGGCAUUCUUAAGCCUUUUAGUAAAUUGUGACUGUUUUGAUGUUCUGAUUUCUCAAUUCCAAGCUUAAUUUGUUGCAAGUUUUAAUCUUGAAAACAUUGGGGAAACAAAAUAUAAAGGGCUUGAAUUGUUCAUCUUAAAUUCUUUAUUUGGUUUUAGAAAUGUAGUUUGUAAUUAACAUCACAUGAAUACUAUUGGUUUUUAUAGCUAAAUAUUAAUGCAUUAUUAUAGCUCUUUUGUCCAUUGUGUUUUUGCACUUGUCAUUCUAACAAGAAGUGUCUUUUGUGGGGAAUAAUUUCUUUUUAGCUAUAAUUGCUACAGUAUGAUUAUUUUCUCACUCUAAGUGAAGCUUGAAUAUAUAUAUAUAAACAAAUUUAAAUUAUGGAUGUUGCAUGAAGUUCUGAUAGUUUACAGCUUUAAAUCUAAGGGUUUGGUAGGGAUUAAUCACUUGACUCUUUAUAGUGCUAUCAUUGUAUCAAGAUGCUGAACGAAUGUGAGGUUUGCAGAUUUAGAUGAAUCACUAGCCUGUGCACUAGAACCAAGAAAGUUGAGGUAGUGUUGUCUGUAUUAAUGAAAUUAUUAUUUGCCUGAAACUUUUUGAUUUGAUAAAAAUUCUAAAGAUUAUGGUUUCUUCUUUUUUUGCAAAAGAUAUUUGAAAUUUUAUACGAUUUGAAAAUGUAGAUAUUAUCAAAUAACAUAAUAUUUUAUAUAUAAUUUAUAUUUUUUGUGAUUGUAAAUACCGGUAUGCAAUUGGGAGGGGUUGAUUUUCAGUGCAUUAACAUUGUCCCUGAACAAGACCUGCUGUAUGUUGAUGGGAAUCCACAUGCCAUUAUGAUAGUAAAAGGAAAGUGGUUUUGAUUAAAUCUAGUAAUGUCCUUGUCCAGAUAUAGGCAGUCUCCUCCAAUCCCAUCUCCAGAAAGUAAAGACGCUCUAACCAAAUCUUUACGGUAUGAAAUAGUUAAAAUGCAUGUAAUAAUUCAAGACUUUUGUUAGCUGUAUGAUUUUUCACUGGUACAAAGUAAAAUGCACCUUUGAAGUGUACCUUGCUACCUAUAAUAUACUGAAUAAUCUUCAAAUAGCUUUAUAAAUUUUUGCUUAGUUUUGAAGUUGAUACUUUUCAAUGAACUUGUGUAAAUGAAAUACAGUAUUGAAAAUAUAUAUAUAUGCUUAACGGCUAACUAUAAAUGCAUUAGUCUUAAGAGUUUGGGGGAGGGGAUUAAUAUGAAAUAGAUUUUUUUGGCAGUGAAUUUGGUGAUCAAUAACAGCAGAUAUCUGCACAUGCACUUGGCCCAGUUGUGAUGCAGCAUAUCUCCUCGAAUGGAGUCCAAUUAGUAAGAACCCUAAUGAAGAUGAUACUAUACAUGUGAAUAAUGUUAAUGAGGAGAGAAUGGAAAUAAGAGAAAUGGAGUAAUUUGAGUUCAGUUGGUAAGCCCAUUUUCUAAAUGACUUGCUGAAGUUGGACAUUUUUUUUAUAAAUUGUUAUUGUGAAGUAAAAUAGACCUGUUGAAACUUUUCAGAACUUACUUUAAAAUUUUGUGUGUGCAAGGAAAAAAAAUUUGAAAAUUGUGCAAAAAUCAAAAUACUUAAAACCAAAAUUUAAUAUUGAUAACUGUAAUAUGAUAGAAAGAUCUAAUUUGUUUAUUUUCAUUUAUACUUCUGAAAAUCAUUGUGAAUACAAAUAUUUGUGUGGAGGAAUAUCUUAAAAAGUGUAAAGGUACUGGAAGUAAACGAGUAAAAUUGUAAUUAAUUAUAGUAAUAGUGGGGGGAUUGGGAAGAUAAAUGAUUUUGUCAUUGCUGCAGAUAGCGAUUUUUCCAUGUAUUCCUUCCCAUGACCAGUUCUUAAAUGGAACGAUCUAUAGGAUCCCAUUUAGCCAGCUUCCAAGCCUGUUUCUUUUAAAAGGAGGAUAAAAUCUACAGGUAUUGUGUUUGAAACUAAUUGUUCUGUGUCCAUCUCAUGAUUUAUGAUAAAUUCUUAUGAAUGGUAAUUUCCUUUUGUCUUGCAUUGUUUUAGCCAACUUUAACAAAGAAUACAUUAUUUAUUGUUGUAGAUUUAAAAUUUUAUCAGGAGCCUUCUAAGCUUUAAAAGUUUGUAUUCAGAUCAUUCAUUUAAAGGAAAAUGAGAAUUUGAUAUUCUAAACACAAAUUGGGAUGGGGGUUUGUGUAUUUUUAAUCAUAUAUAGUUUAUUGUCAGGAAAUGUUGAGAGAUAGAAAAAAAGAUGAGUGACCCCAUGAGUGGUAACCAUUACAACUGUAAUUUUUGUGUUGUACAUUGCUUUCUAAUUUGUAAAUUCAAAUGAAAUAUAUUUCAUUAUUAAUAUUAACUAAUUUCAUGAUUCAGAUUUUAUUGUUGGAGGUUUCUUAACUUGUAUUCAAAUUUUCUGUGAAUCAAACUUUUAUAGUAAAAUAAGGAUUUCAUAGUUAAAAAAAGUGGGAAAAUUUGGUGGGAAAGGGUAACUAAUUAUAUCUUUUGUCAGUGAUACCUAUGGAACUGGAAGACCCAGUUUGUGAUUUGCUUAAGUUUGGUAUGAAAGUAACCUGUGGGACUUAACUGAUAUUGAAUGCUGCUUAAUAUGUGAAAAUAUGCAGGUUAAAUUCCUUCAAUAGAAGCACAGAAAAGUUUAUCAAGUAUGUUUUAAAGAUCAUCAUGGGCCUAAGAACAUGGAUGUAAAAUGUAUACUGUAUUGAAGUAAGAACAUUUAUUGAUAUAUAGAUUUUAUUGGUAAUUUAAAGUUUUGAUAAAUAUGUUGUUGAAGAUGUUUGAUUGUCAGGGUUUAUUUUAUAAUUCGUAUAUAUAGUUAUAUCUAUCAUGUAAUCAUAUCUCUGAGAUAUUUUUAAUUUGAUUUCAAAAAAGUCUCAAGCAUGUUUAUCAGCAAAGAUUAUGCUUAUUUUGCAAUAUGUGUCUGAAAUUUUAUACCAUUUAAAAAUGUAUUGGCAAAUAACAGUAACACUUGUAUUAAUAUUUUUUUGUGAUCGUAAAUAUCUGUAUGCAAUCGGAUGGGGUUGAUUUUCAGUACAUUUUCCAUGUCCUUUCAAGAUCUGCUGUAUGUUGAGGGAAAUCCACAUGCCACUAAGAGCAUAAAGGGUAAUUAAUGUUUGUCCAGGCUGUCUUCUCCAAUCCCAACUCCAGAUAACCAAAUCUGCGGUAUGAAGUAGUUAGUAAAAAUGCAUGAAAUAUUUGAAGAGUUUUGUUAGCUGUUUAAUACCACUUGUAUGAUUUCUCACUGGUACGAAGUAUAAAUGCACCUUUGAAGUGUACCUUGCUACCUAUAUUAUACUGAAUAAUCUUCAAAUAGCUUUAUAAAUUUUUGAUUAGUUUUGAAGUUUAUAUUUUUCAAUGAACUAAUUUUAAAUGAAAUAACAGUUUUAGAAAUAUAUGCUUUACUGCUAACUAUAAAUGCAUUUGUCUAGUUAGGGGGAGGGGAUUAAUAUGAAAUAGAUUUUCUUGGCAGUUUUGUCAUAAUCAUGAAAAGCAGAUUUCUGCACAUGCGCUUUGACUAGUUGUGAUGCAGCAUCUGUCUCCUCGACUUCCAGUCCAAUCAAUUAGAACCCUAAUGAAGAUGAUACUAUGUGUAUAAUGUUAAUGAGGAGAAAAUGGAAAUAUGUUAAGAGAUGUGGAGUUAAUUGAGUUCAGUUGGUAAGGCCAUUUUCUAAUUACCUUGCUGAAGUUAGGCCAUGAUUUUGCAAAGUAAAAGAUCCAUUGAAUCUGUUCAGAAUGCAGUUUAAAUUUGUGUGGACAAUGAAUACAAAUUAUAUAAGAACGAAUUACUUUUGUUUAUUUUCCUAUACUUGUGAAAAUCAAAUUGUGAUUGCAAAUAUUUGUUUGAAGGAAUAUCUUAAUUUGAAAAAGGUACUUGGAGUAAAAAUUUAUAUUCACGUUGCAGUUAAAUUAUAAUAAUAAUAAAGGGGGGAUUGGGACGUUGAAUGUUUUUUUCCUUUAUACAGAAAGUGAUUUUUACAUGCACUCCAUCCUGUGACAAGUUCUUAAAGGAACUAGCUAUAUCAUACCCAUUUAGCCAGCAUCAAAGCCUGUUUCAAGAUAAAAUAUACAGGUAUUGUGUUUGAAACUUAUUGUUCUGUUUCCAUCUCAUGAUGAAUGCUUAUGAUUGGUAAAUUCUUUUUGUUUUCAUUAUUUUCAGCUAAGUUGAUUAAAGAAGAUUACAUUUUUUUGUUGGGUUAUAUAGGUUCAAGUUUUUAUCGGUAGCCUUCUAGCUGUAAAAGUUUAUUUUGGUACAUGAAUAAAGGGAAAAUGAGAAUUUGAUAUUCUAGAGACAAAUUGGGAGGGGGUAUGUGUAUUUUUAAUCAUACAUGUAUAUAGUUUAUUGUCAGGAAUUGUUGAGAUAGAAAAUAUCUUGUAAUCUGGAGAGUGGUAACCUGUAUAACUUAUUUUGUGUUGUACAUUAUUUUAUUUAGUGUUUAUUUUCAAAUGAAAUAUAAAUCAUUAUUAAUAUAAACAACUAUUUCAUGAUGCAGAUUUUAUUGUUGGUGGUUUCUUAACUUGUAUUUUAAUUUUCUGUGAAUCCAGCUUUUAAAGAAAAAUAAAAGUGGGAGAGCGGUGGGGGCAUUGCAUAACUAAUAAUUUAUUUGUCAGAAUCCUGGAAAACAGCAGAUUAACUUUCAGUGGUAAGACAUCCUAACAGUUUCUUAUAUUGAUCCUUCUUGAAAGAAUCUUCAUUCCCCUAACAAAGGUAUAGAGAGAUAACCAUUCUUGUUCCAGAACAGUAUAGCUUAAAACUGCAUUGAAGUAGAGAAGUUUAUUUGAAUGAAACGUGAAAGAUCAAAUGCAUAACCAUGAGUUAAUAAAUGGUAACAUACUUUAUUCAUUGUAUUAAGUAAAUGAUUUCAUACAUCAUGUCAAACAAGUUUUAUCAUUUCUGUACUAUUUAUAUUGCAAACAUGAUUGAUAUAAAAUCAAAUUUCAAUGAUUUCUGUAUUGUGAAAAUUAUUAUUUUUCAAGAAUCAACUUUAAAUCUCAAUUUCUGUUAAUAUUGUCUGAACAAUAAUUGGUCAAAUUAGAAAGAAAUAAGGGGUUAGGCUGUUACUAACUAAUUUCUUAUCAGCAAAAUAUGACCUGUGGAAGAAUGUCCUGAUAAAGAGUACAAAAGAAUAGCAUAUCCUGUGACAGAAAGCUUGAAACCUAGACAGUAAAGUUUUCAGAAAGAGAUGCAAAGGUUCAUUAGGAUAACCUGUAUAAAAUGAUAUGUAGAAAGAACCCGAGCCAAAGAAUGGUAUUUCUUUUCUCAUUAGUUGCAAAAAAAUCAUUCAUAUUGGAAUAUAUUUUAGUGUUUUUUUCAUAAUAUAAAUCUUGUGAAAAUGUUGAGAAUUUAAUAGGUUAAUCAGUGCUUAAUGAAUUAUUGUUAAGAAAACCUUUACUUGAGUAAAUUGAAUUGGGGUGUGAAAGGGAAGGCAUGUUAUUUAUUUUUAAAAGUGAUUAAAUUUUUCUGGAUAAUAGUGUUCAAUGAAAUGGUUUAUUAACCUUUCUCGAUAGUCUAUUUUAAUAAUUUGAAAUUUAUCUUCAGAUGCUUAAAUCUGUUUGAAAUUAUGGAUUAAAAGGGGUAGGGAAGGGUUGUACUGAUAAUGUUCUUCUUUGUUAGUGAAACUAUUUGAAAUGACAGAUCAUGCUCAAGAUUUCAUACAGUAACGAUGAACAUUCCAUAAUACAGUAACAAGUUUGAACACUAUAUAAUGUAAUAGCUUGAAAAUUGAACCUACCGAGUGUGUUUGUGGCUAAAUAGUAAGUGUAUCAGAUUAUGCUUCAUAUUAUAUUGUGAAAGAGGAGUUAAAUGUCAAAAGUUAUUGGAUCAUAUCUGCAAGUUCGAAGUUUUUAUCUUAUUUAAUAUAUACAAAUAGAAAAUUUAAAAUGUUAUUGUAGAAUUUAAGAUAAAUCAGUGUAAAAUUAGAAUAUAUCAGUUUUGGUAAAGUGUAAAGUACAAUGAAGUUAUUAAGUAUGCAAGUUCUUGUUGUGUAGCUAAAUAUUAAAGUUCUGGGGUUAAAGGUAGGUUGGGGAGGGGCAAGGUAACCUAUAAUAUCUUAUUUGUCAGUGAACACAAGUCCUUGAAGAUACCAGAUUCACAUUCAGUGGAAAAGACCUAACAAGAUCUGCUUCCUGUGAUGGUCCUCUUUGUACCCAGUUCCCAGGUAGAUAGAAAGAUGUCCUCUGUUCAAGGAAAGAUUGAAACUACCGGUAGAUAAAAUAAAAUAACCAAGUGAAAAAGGUUUUGCAUUUGAAUAAGUUGUGGUCAUGACACGAUGUAAUUUGAAAUAUAUUUUUGAAAAUUUAAGAAUGCUGUAAUAUUAGUAUAAAUCUUUAAAAUAUAUUCAAUAAUGGUUAAAUUUUAUCAGAUAUGUUAUUCAAUUAUUAGUCAAUUCAGUAACAAGGGGUUGGGGUUUAACGUUUUUCAUUGCCAGCGAAAGUAACAAAAAAAAAUAAAUGUAGUUACCUGUGGAUAUUGGUCCUCACACCCAAGUUACAGUCUAAAGGGAUAGUACAUCCUGUGGCCAAAAGGUUUGAAACCACUACAAUCCAACAAGUACAGUAAAGUUUGAAAAAAGUAAUGUAUAAAAAAAGCCUUGAAGCAGAGUUGUCUUGAAUGAGAAGAGAGAGGCUGUGACAAAAGAAGAGUAUUUCUCAUAUUUAAGUUAACUAUAUUUUUUAUAUUAUUUAUAUUACAGAUUAUUUUCAUUUUAAUAAGUUGUGCUGUUAAAUUAUUAACUAUAUUGAAAAAAAUGAGGUUUCAUUAAGUUGCAAUGUUUUUGUCUUGAUCAACUUGGGAGUUUUAAUUAGAGCAAAUUAAACUAUAGAUUUGUGUAUAGUAGGAUUGUUACUUUGACAUGUUGACAUUGUAUACGUAGGUACAAGUAUUUUAGGAAAGUUUUAUAAUGAUGCAAGUCUGGUAUCUUUUGAUAGUGAUAUUUUAUGCUUAUAUACCCUUAUUGUACUGCUGUAAAAUAUACUUAUAAUUGUGUGUUGAUUGUUUCAUAGCGUUUGUAGGGUACCAUCAUUGUUUAUCAAUGAGUAUAAAAGCUAUUUGAUUUAAUAGAUAACACUUGCAUUUUUCCUAUCCAUGCCAUAUGUACAAAACUCUUUACAGGCGUGUUUGUUGCUUAAUAUGCUUGCACUUAUUUAUAUUGAAAUCCUCUAAAUUUUAUAUUUAAUAUUUUUUAAUGUUUGACUUUCACUGACAUUGACCGUUUGACAAUAAUGUUGGGUGGGUAUUAAAAACAAAGAUUUGCUUUUUUGAUAGUAUGGUUUUAACAGAUGGAUUGCAAUCUGUGCGAUGACUCGAGUGUUAUGUUGUGUCUCCAACUAGGUUGAAAUAGUUUAGUAAAAGAUCCUUGGAUGAAAUGUGACUGUGCUAAAAUCUAUAAGUAGAUGAUAAUCAAAGCUGUAGUGCCACAAUAGAAGCUUAUUUAAACCAGUUAUGUAGUUUCCACUUAAGCGUGAGCUUUUAAUAUAGCCUGUAUUACAUGUGAAGGUAUGAAUUUGUGUUGUUUGCAUGCAAGAAAUUUUAAAAUAUUUUUUUUAUGGAAAAGAAAUGUAAUUUACUGAUAUUGAAAAACUUUGUAGGGUAGGUGGGGUAAAUGAAAUAUGAAAGUUUGCCUUAAAAAUAUAAUGUAAUGUUCAAUGUGUUGGUAAUGUUUUUUUGCGAUAUUGAUUGUAUAGAUGAAAUCUAAACAAGAAAUAUGUAUAUAUCUUUAUAAUUGAGGAAGGAAGAUAAAUAUUUGGUGUGUAAAAAAAUUAGGGGGUGGGCUCAUUAUUAUCAUUCUUAGUGUUCACAGUGUGCACCAUAAAAGACCAGUGAAAAGAGAAGUGUCAUUGUCCCUCAAUAAAAGUCGAGAGGGUUAAACUAUAUUUUGCCGUUCAAGUUGGCUACAGACGCUGUUUGUCGAGCUUUCACUCUGGGAAGGCAAGUAAGCAUUUUACUUUCAUAGUUGAAAACACAUCAGUUUCUUCUAUUGAUAUUAAAACAAUUAUUAUAGUAGUUAAAAGAUCACAAGAAGUAAUGAAAAAAUAAAAGGGCAUAACUGUAACAGUAAAAAUUUCUAUUUCAAUGUCAUUUUUUAUGUCUUUUUAAAAAUCUUUCCUCAGAUUUAAAGAAACACUUUAAUGUACAUGUAUAUUCUUAAUAAGCCAUAGCAUAUGAAAAUUUGAAAAAGGUGGAAAACACUAGAUGUUAUUGUAUUUAAAAUUUGGAGGGGUGGGGUUGUAAUUUAAAUCAUUAGUAUUCCACAGUAUGCAGCAGUUGAAUAACGCAUCAGUGGUCCAUAAAGUUCCAGACAAUAUAUAAAACUGAAAAAGGGGUGUCGUGUAAGUUUUUGAUACUGACGAUCAAGUACAGUGGCAAGUACACAAAUGUAUUGGCUUUCUUGUUGGUGUGUAACAUAUUCCAGUAUUUUACCAGUGCAUGCAUCACAUAACUUUGAUUUUGUAUCUGCAUACAAUUAGCAAAACACAUGUUCCAACUGUAAUAAGUGUCACCAGUUUAGUUUAAUUCUUGGAUAAUGGUUCUUUUUAAUCAUGUUGACCUUUGUUAUUUUAUAUACUAACCAUUUUCAUAGUCUGAAUAUUCCUUAUCAGUUAGUUUAGAAGUGUAGCUCUCAAUGUAUGAUUUGUAUUGUCACUUUUUGAUAGCUGAUGUUGCUUUCUAAUUUUAAGGUCUUUCUAUAUGUAAUAUGACAGGUCAGCUGCUUUUGAUUAUGUUUUUCAUUAUAUUUAAUCAUGCUUUUUGUACCUAAAUAGUAGGCAAGUCAAGGUAUGCAUUAAUUUUCCCUGUCUGGUUUUUAUUAUUAUUUAUAUUAUUUACAUGUAUGUUUGUUUUUCAUCUCAUUUUAUGAUGUUUUGAGUGGUUUAUUUAAUUCUUUAAAGUAUUGUAAUUAUCAGCAAUAAAUGGAAAAGAGAAAAAAAAUCUUUAUAUGUGAAAAUAAAGCCAGGACUGAUAAACUUAAAAUGAGUUAGGGGAGAUAACAAGUUUUUAUUUAGGUCCCUGUAUCUGUCCUGCUGAUGAAAAUUGACCAGCCAACAACGAAAUAGAACAUUUUGGGAGAGAUGGUGGUAUUGGUAGCCAAAUAAAAAUGCAAUUGAAGUAAAAUUAUACGUACAUACUAUACUUGUAAAAGUUUUAUUUCCAUGUAAUGUGCAAUGAAUUGGAAAUAUUUUAAUAAAUAUUCAUUAAUUAAAACUUAACAACAUGCUAUCAUAUAUAAUAAUUAAAAAAUAAGUAUAGAAGAUGAAUACAAUGGUGUGAAAAUUUUUAAGGGGGGUGAGGAGUAUUAUAAUAAUUCUCAUUCACAGUAUUGACCGUACAAGACCAGUAAAAAGAGAAGCUCCAUUAAAAAAAUCAGUUACUGAAACUGAAACAUGCCUGUCUAGUUAGUUACUGAUGCUGUUUGUCAAGCUUUUGCUUUGGGAGGCAAGUAAACAUUAAUUUGUUUCUUUCAUACUAAAAAAAAAGAAUUAGAAAGUUUCCUUUUGUUGAUAUUGAAAUAUUGAAAUAAUUUUUAUGCAACUAUAAAGUGUAGAACAUAUAUAUUGCAUUUUGAGUAUAAAAAACAAUAAUAGUGAUCAUGCUAUUUUAAUGUCAUGUCUUUUGAAAGAUCUUUCCUCAGAUUUAAAAGUUAUAUAUAAAGGUAUAUUCAUGAUAAGCCAUAUAUUAAUAUUUGAAAAAAGGUAGAAAAAUAUUGGGGGGAGAGGGACUGUUAAUAAACAUUAGUAUUCCAGUAUGCACCAUUAACAGCAGCAAAGGUCCAUCUAAAAGUUCCAGGCAAUAAAUAAAAUUGGAACCAGCAUGUCAAGUAAGCUAUUUAUGCUGACUAUCAAGCUUUUAAGUACAGUGGCAAGUACACAUUAAUUACACAAUUAAUAUUAACAGUACCAAUUUUAUUGCACAAGACUUAUUGAAUGAUGACUUCUGCUAAUUGGAAUUUUUAUAUUGAAUUUAGUUUUUUUACAUUUUCUUAUAGAAUGUUGUCCCUGCUACAAUUAUAUUGCAAUACAAUAAUUUUAUUUUCAUAUUUUUUUUUCUUCCAUUGUAUUGAUGUUGGGUGGUUGGGGUGAAUUAAAUGUUCCAGUUUUUUGGCAGAGAGAAGCUAUGGUUAAACAGAGAACCAAAGAAAAUGUGGUAUGAAUUUCAGUUUUGUUCUCAUUUGUUUACAAUUUUUAAAUUAAGACAUUUGUGAAUGAAAUUUAUAAAACAGAAAGUAAGGACUUUAGUUCUUUAUUUAAGGAGAAACAUUUGUUGGAUAAAAUGUGCAAAUUGUACAUUGUAUUAAAAAUUAAUGUUAAAAUAGAUUCAUGCUUUUGUUGAAAUUUGAUGGAAAUGCUGGGGGAGGGGUUUUGACUAAUAUUGAUUUUUUUAUCCCAGAAGCACAGAUUGGAUUGAAAAUCCUGUAGUAUGGAGAAUGGAAAAUUUGGCUGUACAUUAUUGGUACAUUGUUGUAUCUGUUAAUGUGUCAACAAAUAAUCAUUUGAAUUGUAUUCCGGUACACUUACAUUUUAUUUUGACCUAUUUUUUAUCUGCAUACUAUUAGGAAAACACAUACUCCCACUUUAAUAAGUGUCGCCAGUUUAGUUUAAUUCUUGGAUAAUGGUUCUAUUUAAUCAUGUUUAUCUUUGUUAAAUUUUUAUACUAACCAAAUUCAUAAUCUGAAUAUACCUAGAUUAUCAGCUAGUGAAGCUUUUUUUUGACCUAUUUGUUAAUCUUGCAGUGAAAUUGAUGGAAAUAUUUGCUAAAUGCUGUUAUUCGUAUGGAAUAAGGGGGUGGGGAGUUCACAUUUCUUUCUUUUGUAGUAAAGGCUGUAGUAAUCAAUGUUUACAGUUAUCUGGUGAGGAAUGGUGGUGUAGCUUUGUUCUUGUUGGUGUGUUACAUAUUCCAGUAAAUUACUAAUGCAUGUUUCACAUAACUUGUAAUUUGUACUUGCAUACACUAAGCAAAACACAUGCUCCGACUUACAUAGCCUUCAGCACUUUUGUUUACUUCUUGGAUAAUGGUUCUAUUUAUUCAUGUUGAUAUUUGUUAUAUUUAUAUACUAACAAUUUUCGAAAUCUGAAUAUUCCUAGCUAGAGUAGCUUCAAACUUUGUUGUUGACAAUGUUGAGUUGUUUUGUCUCACUUUCUUACAUUGCUUUCCAUUUUGAUGAUUUUUAAUCUUUGUAUUUUACCACACAAACUGCCCUUGAUAUGUAUUCUGGUAUAUUUUUUAUGAUUUAUCCAUAGUGCUUGCUUUGUGUACAUACAAGAUAUUAAGGUUAUGCAUUUUCUAGUUAUUUAUUAUUUACUUGUAUCUCUAUUUUAUCUCAUUUUUAUGAUUUUUAUUUGACUGGUUAGAUUUUUAUUUGUAAUCAUAUAAUAAACAACAAUAAGUCUCGAGCAAAAAACGUAUUAAACUAAAAAUGAAAGUUAGCCGAGAAUUUUUAUUUAGGUCCAUUUAUCUGUGCCGUGUUGAUGAAAACAGACCAGCCAAUGACAUAAGAAAAUACAUUUGGAGAAUAAAAGAUGUUGGUUUUGGUAGCCUAAAUAAUUACUAUGGAAGUAAAAUUAUUUUUACUUAUUUACUUUAUCAAUAGAAGAAUUAUUUCCAUGUAAUGUUCAAUGGGUUUGAAAUUUCUUUUUUCUGAGAUUAACUAUUCAUCAGUUAAAUAUUAACAUGCCAAAAUAUAUAGAAAAAAGGAAGAUAAUGAAAGGGGUGGGGCGAUUAUAAUAAUUUUUAUUGUUCACAGUGUAUUCCAUAAAAGACCAGUGAAACGAGUAGCAACAUGGUCCCUCUGUAAAAAACUUGGAAGGUAAAAAUGAAAUAUGCCUGUCUAGUUAGAUAUCGAUGCUGUUUAAGUUCUGCCAAGGCAAGUGAACAUUACUUUCAUACUUGGGAAAACACUUGCAAAGUGUCUUGUAUUUAUUGUAACAAUAAUUGUAGCAGAUGAAGAUAAGAAUGUUUCUUUCUUUUGAUUGAGAAAACUGCAUUAAGGAAAAAUGGAAAAAAAGUUGUUGUGUAUAGAACAUAUUGCAUUUGAGUAAAAACUAAGUACAUAACUUAAAUCGUGAUGCUAUUUUAAUGUCAUGUUAAUGUCUUAAAAAUCUUUCCUCAAAUUUAAGUUACAUAUAUAUGUAUAUAGAAGAUUAGCCAUAGCAUAUUAAUAUUUAAAAAGAGGUAGAAAAAUACAAUUUAGAUGAAUUUGUAUGUAAAAUGGUUUGGGGAGGGGGACUGUUGAUAAUCAUUAGUAUUCCACAGUGUACACCAUUAUAAAAGGGAGCCAAUGGUCCAUCAUAAAGUUCUGGACAAAUAAAAAUUGAAACCGGCAUGUCAAGUAAGCUUUUAACUCUAGCUUUCAAGUACAGUGGCAAGUACACAUUGAUUUAUUACUCUUAUAUUUCUUUCAUAUGAAUGAAAUGAUUGUUAAAUGUUAAUUGGAAGUUUUAUUAAUUCUUGGUAUUAAAGAUUGUCAGUGUAAAACAAUUAUAAUGUAAUGCAAUGAAUUUUCUUUUUCAUAGAGUAUUUUUUUUUGCAAUUUUCUUUUAACUUUUAGUUGAUUGGUGUGGGUGGGGUGAAUUAUAUGUUCCAACUUUUUUUGCCAGAGAGAAGCAAUAGUUCAGCAGAGAACAAUUGAAGAAAAAUGGUAUGAAUUGUCUGGAUUAUUUAUUUCCCUAUUUGUUUUGCAUUUUUAGUUUUAAAUAUUUCUUAAUGUAAAUUUGUGAAAAAGGAAGUCAAGUUCUUUAUUGGAUAAAAUCGAAGAGUAUUGAUUUGACAAGAUUACAGGUGAAAAUUGCUCAUAAAAUAUUAGAAACGAAAAAAACAAGCUUUGUUGAAAUUUCAUGAAAAUGGGUAGGGAGGGGUUUUGACUAAUAUUGAAAUUUUCUCUCAGAAAGAAGCAUGGAUUGGAUUGAAAGUCUGGAGAGUAUGAAGAAAGUGGUAAAGUUAGUUGUACAUUAUUGUUGUUGGUGUUAUUUUAACCUAUUAAUGGUUCAAUAAACAAUAAUUUUAUUGGUAUACACUUCAGGAAAGAAGCAAUUAGAUUUUGUUUUUAUUUUGACAUAUUUGUUAAUCUUGCAGUGAAAAUGACAGAAAGUUUUGCAGUAAAUGCUGAUUUUUCUUAAUAGAAUAAGGGGGUGGGGUAGUUCACAUUUCUUUCUUUUGUAGUAUCAACCAUAGGUUAUCUGGUGAGGAAUGAUGGUGUAGCUUUGUUCUUGUUGGUGCAUUAAAUAAUCCAGUAUUUUACCAAUGCAUGUAUCACUUAAAUUGUAUUUUUUACUUGCAUACACUUAGCAAAGCAUAUGCUCCCACUUUCAUAGAUGUCACCAGUUUAGUUAAUUCUUGGAUAAUGGUUCUUUUUAAUCGUGUUGAUCUUUGUUAUUUUUAUACUAACCAUUUUCAUAUUCCUAGAUUAUCAGCUAGUGCAGCAUUGACCUGUAUGGAUAUAUGAUUGUUUUGUCACCUUCUAAUGGCUGAUGUUGCUUUUUAUUAUGAGGUAUUGAAUCCUGAUGUAUUAUAACAGGUCAGCUGCUUUUGAUUUUUUAUUUUUUUUGCAUACUCAGCAUUAAUGGUCACUCUUAAUUGAUAGAUAUUUGUUUUUGUCGCGUUCUGAUGGCUGAUGUUGCUAUUUAUUUUGGAGUCUUUAAUCCACAUGUAUUCUAACAGGUCAGCUGCUUUUGAUUUUUUGUGUGUAUAGUUCAUCAUUAUUGGUUUAUCUGCAGCACUUGUCAUUUUGUAUUUAUAUACCUACAUAAUAGGCAAGAUUGGUAGCAGACAUUUUAUUUCAGCAUGCAUGCAUCAGAAUUGGAGAGGAUACAAGUAAAUAUAUGACCAAGGAAGGCAAAUAAGAUAAUUAUGCAAGGACCCUGAUCUUUGGCUUACUAAAAUUGGCAUGCCAGGAAGUGAGACAACACUGCCAGCUGGUCAGAGCAGAGGGUAAACCUACCUCCCCCUCUCUCAGUUUGGCUUGAAAGGAGAGAGUCAGGGUUGGGUAGCCGGCUCGCAGCAAUAACCUGUGCACAUUAGGCUUCCAAAAUAUAAAUGUAUUUUAGCAAAGUUAAGUAUUUAGUAGAUCUUUCAUAUAUUGUUCACUAAUCAACAUCAAUACAAUAAUGCUAAUUUUGAAUCAUUUUAAUAUGCUCAGUUAUAUAAAAGAUAUAAAUAUAAGUGUGUAAAAUUUAAUUUUUUUUAUAUAAGCAAACUUUCUCAAAAUGUUUUAUUCAGUAGAUUUAUUAACCAAUGUUAACUGUCCAACAUUAAUGAAGCUCAUUUUGAUGUGCUGAAAACUGCAUACAAAAGACUAAAUAAACAUUUUUGAAAAAAGGUGAAAAGGUAUUUUUAAUAAUAAAUACAGAAAUGAUAUACACAAGUAAUAUAUUUAUAAUUUACAGAGUAUAACAAAAUAUAAAAGAAAUGUAAAUAUUAAAAAGUUAAUAAACUAUCAUAAUCAUAA